This 317-nucleotide RNase P RNA is filed under the name Flavobacteriaceae bacterium. Its description in RNAcentral is "RNase P RNA component class A". It matches the Rfam family "Bacterial RNase P class A". Rfam says of the family: Ribonuclease P (RNase P) is a ubiquitous endoribonuclease, found in archaea, bacteria and eukarya as well as chloroplasts and mitochondria. Its best characterised activity is the generation of mature 5'-ends of tRNAs by cleaving the 5'-leader elements of precursor-tRNAs. Cellular RNase Ps are ribonucleoproteins. The record is from RNAcentral. Lineage: Bacteria; Pseudomonadati; Bacteroidota; Flavobacteriia; Flavobacteriales; Flavobacteriaceae.
ACCGCAGGCCGCCUUAUCGAACUAGCUUAGGCUAGUUAGGAAAGUCCGGACACCAAAGGGAAGCAUAGCGGCUAACAGCCGUCGUUCCGACCACCAUCGGAAUAGGACUAGUGCAACAGAAAGUAUGUACAGGUAAUGCUGUAGUGAAACCAGGUAAACUCUAUGCGGUGCAAUGCCAUGUAUACUCAGGCUUGAGGGUUCCCGCCCAAUCUGAGAGGGUAGGCAGAUAGAACGUUUUGGUAACAAAUCGUCCAGAUAAAUGAUAAGGCUCUAAUACUAAUUGGAGACAGAAUCCGGCUUAUAGGCCUGCAUUUUUU